AGGACGAACGCUGGCGGCGUGCCUAAUACAUGCAAGUCGGAACGAACUGUGGAAAGCUUGCUUUCAGAGUUAGUGGCGAACGGGUGAGUAACACGUAAGUAACCUAGCUAUUAGACGAGGAUAACUACUGGAAACGGUAGCUAAGACUGGAUAUGAUAGAAAUAUUUAAAGGAUGCUAAGGCAUCGCUAAUAGAGGGGCUUGCGGCGCAUUAGCUAGUUGGUAGGGUAAAAGCCAACCAAGGCGAUGAUGCGUAGCCGACCUGAGAGGGUGACCGGCCACACUGGGACUGAGACACGGCCCAGACUCCUACGGGAGGCAGCAGUAGGGAAUCUUCGGCAAUGGACGGAAGUCUGACCGAGCAACGCCGCGUGAGUGAAGAAAGUUUUCGGAUUGUAAAGCUCUGUUAUUAGGGAAGAAAGGCUCUAGGAGGAAAUGCUUAGGGAUUGACGGUACCUAAUGAGGAAGCCACGGCUAACUACGUGCCAGCAGCCGC
Molecule: ribosomal RNA, 494 nt
Filed under: uncultured bacterium
Lineage: Bacteria
Description: bacterial SSU rRNA
Rfam family: Bacterial small subunit ribosomal RNA
Source: RNAcentral